RNAcentral lists this long non-coding RNA (374 nucleotides) under Medicago truncatula (barrel medic). Its description in RNAcentral is "long non-coding RNA (MTRU_LNC007339)". The record is from RNAcentral. Lineage: Eukaryota; Viridiplantae; Streptophyta; Magnoliopsida; Fabales; Fabaceae.
CCAGAAGUCACUGUUCACGUCAGAAAAAUCAGCAGCAAUUCACAAACCCUAAUUUUCUACUUUUCCAACCCUUUUUCAGAUCAAAUCACCAAAACUCAUAAAAAGAUCAUGAAUAUGAUGAACACAAAAAUUUUCAGAGUCAUCUUCCACACAUAAACACCAUAAUUUCGAAUACCUUACUCAAGUGAGUUUCAAAAAAAUCAAAAACAUCACAGCUUUAACAUCCAUUUCCGUGGUUUCCAUCACAACAACUUUCCUUUAACUCGAAUUCCUCCAAACAGUAACAACAACAACAAUUUUUGUCGAACCGGAGCAAAAGAAAGCAACAUCGGACCGGAUUCAAGCAAGGAAGCAAAACCAAACCAGACCGGAGC